UCAGUUUUUUAAAACAGCAUAUAUGUAUACAAUUUUUAUUUUGUUGAAAGCAAAACCAUAAGUUGCUGUUUAAUUUUUAAUAAUCUCAUACACUGGGUUACUAUAGAAGUGAAGGUGGGAUAAAAUAUCUCAUCUUCUUUAACUCCCUCAAUCACCCUGAAGUAGUUGCUUCUAAUAAAUAAUAAAUACAUACAUCUUGUAAUUCCACUUUCACUUUAUAACUCAGAUUGUCUCUAUUGAAAUCAUGCUUAGAUUUCUUUGCUACUUUAUUUAAAUUCCCAACUCUUAAAAAUGAUUGUUUCAGUUAUUGAUAGAUGCUAAUGAACCAUCCCCAAAUUUUGGGCUCUAUAAUGAUUGAUUAUUUCUCAUGAUUCUGGGGAUUGGUUGGGAAGUGUCUUUCUUGCUUUCAGUUAGGCUGGGAGCAGGUCUUUACUAGAUGAGAUUGUGUGACUGGGCUUCUUUCUCUUUAUCUCUUAGGUCUUUUAUCCUUGGUUCUUCAUGGCAAGAUGGAUGCAGGGUGGUGUUGCAAAUGGGUAUAAAGUGAGGUUGUGAAACAUUGUCAGUCAUUAUUGGCCAAAGCAAGUUACAAUGAUAGGCCAGAUUCAAGGAGCAUGGAAAUAGAUUUUACUUAUUUGUGGGUAGAUCUGCAAAGAAACUGUGGCCAUAUUUAAUGUAUUCUAGUAAACUAGCCUUUAUUGUGGCAAUAUUACGUCUUCACUUUUACUUUUCUUUAUAUCUGAAGGUUGAAAUCUCAAGGAUUCCCAUUGCUGCCAAACUAACUGUGUGAUAUUGGUUGGAAAGUAUAUCUAAGAAAACAAUUGAGAACACACAGAGAUUCCAGGGAUAUCCUUGUACAGAAGAGAGGCCAUGUGAGGACACAGGGAAGGCAGCCAUCUACAAGUCAAGAACAGAGGGCUCAGAAACCAUAACUGCUGACACCUUCAUCUUUGACUUCUCGUGUCCAGAACUGUAAGUGGACUAAAACCGAACACGCAGAAGCAACUCUGGAGGAGAAAGAGUGAAGAGAUGGAAUGGGGAGCUGAAGAAGGGGAGGCUCCAUUCCUGAAAGCAGUGCUCUGAGUCAUCAAGCUGCUAUUGCAGCUUUGUCUGUUCUGACCCUUUUUAUGCCUGAUGAAUUGUCCUCAGAGACGUGGAUGGACCUACAGUCUGUCAUCCAGAGUGAAGUAAAGCCUAUGGAAUACAGGGGAGAAAAAAUCACACUGUUUGGAAGGAAUUCUUUGGUGAUUAGAACUGUUAUCCAAACUUCACUCCAGUUUAAAAGAAGCUUAAGAUCUAUCAGGAAUAAGACAAGUCUACAACUUCAAAGGACGGCAUGCAAACCUGAAUACCAAGUAAAAUGCACAAUUGGAAGGAAUGACCUUGGGAGAAUAAAGAAAUACCCGAUUUAUCUGUCAUUAUGGGUCAAGACAAGAAAUGCAACAAGACACUCCUUUCAAAGUCCCAGAAGAGUUCCUUCCCAAAUAAUUGAUAUCACACAACAAAAUAUGUUUUGCUAUAAUUGCUGCAAUAAUGUGAGCGAUAACUAUAGCAUAAAUAAAUAUGCAUCUAUUCAAUAUUUUAGGUUUAAAACAUUUUUGUAUGUAGAGCUAUUUUUUAAAGUGCAUUACUUAUUCCUUACUUGUAGCAGAAUAUUUUCUAAGUGAUUUAAAAUCAUCUUAUUCAAAUAUUAUAAGGUAAUUAGAUAGGCAAUAUUACCGUUAUUUUACAGAUGAGUAAAUUGAGUUUUAUGGAAUUGAAGUAAUUUCCAAAGGUCAGACAGGUAGUAAAUAGCACAGCCAAAAUUCAGAGUUCAUGACUCCAAAACCCAAGUACUUUGAUAAGAUUUAUUACGCUGAACACAUGUAUAGCAUAAUACAUCAUUGUAUACCACAAAGAAAUAGUCAUUUUCUAAAAAUCAUUAGGGAAGGAUGUGUUUCCUGUUCAAGAGGAAAAUUUUUAUUUUUAAUAAUAAAGUAUAGCUCACUCUCCUAGUUGUGUGGGUGUGUAUCAGGAAUAUUAGCUCAUUUUUCUAAAAUGAAAUAAUUUAUUGAGAAUAACUAAUUAAAAGUAAAACCUUAGCAAAAUUACAUAGAUGUAAAUUACACAUUAACCCAAACAUACUCUACAUACAGAAACUUAAAGAGGUAAUAAAUUUUUUUUUGUAUAAACACCUAGUUUCUUUGCAUUAAAGAUCAGAUAAUAAUGGCCAGUUAAUAGUCAUCUGUAUAAGUGUCUCUUGUUUUGGUUCUUUUUAAGUUCAGGUUCGUCUUCUCUGUGCUAUAUGGAAUCUUCUUUAACUACCCACCUCUUCCCUCAGAUACCAAUGUCUUUUAGAAUCCUUUGAUAUAGAUGCGAACAGUCCCUAAUCUUUACAUUUACAGAAGUCCACAUUUGCCUUUUAAUCGCAGUAUUGCUCUCUUGCAAUAUAGUCUUUGUAAAGCUGGUUGUCUAGCUUAGAAUAAAUUUUAUUUGUCCAGCUAUUCUCUGUGACCUAAAUGUUUGUCACUUUUCUAUUUUCUUUCUGUGCUCUGCAUUUUCUAUCAUCCUUCAAAGAGAAUGGUAUUAUCCUGUUUCAUCUAAAAGGAUGGUCAUCUGUGUUUUAGGACAUGAGCUGAAAACAAAAUGCAUAAUGUAAUGGUCCUCUGAGAAAACUUGCACAUCUCCUUAUACCUUACCACACAUGUCCAGAGCUGCUCCAGGUGUUGGCUGCCAUCCCUCAUUUUUAAAGAACUAAUGUAUCAUGUACCUCCUAAAAUGGUGAUGCCCACUAGAGUCUCAGAGUGUGAGUUAGCAUUAGGGGUGGUGCUCUAGUGCAGUGUAAGUAAAGGACCCUGAAAUAACUGACAUUUAUGAGUAACUGAUUCGUUAGAAAUCAUAUAAAGAAUCAAUAUUCAAUUAAAUCCAUGAAAUCUCUAGACUCUAAGGAAGCGCUGCCCAUUAGAGUUUCUUGUGAUGAUAAAUGUCCUGUAGUCUACUCUGUUCAUCUGGUAGACAGUAACCACUUGUGGAUUCAUGCAUGACUAAAGUGACUGAAGAAUUUUUAAUAUUAUUUAAUUUUAAUUAAUUAAAAUGUAAAUAACCGCAUAUGGCUAUUGGCUAUGUUAUUGGACAGUGCAACAAUAAGGGAUCUUACAAGUUGCUUCAAUUAAGUUUCAAUUUCAAGGAUUGAAAUCCUCUGAAGGAUUCUCAAUUAUAGAUAUGUAUGAGGUUAUUAAAAAUCUUUAUUAGAUAUGAUAUUUAUUCAUUUUCUUACAAUUACCACAGAGGUGGCUGUUGUACUUUUUCAAUGAAAUAAGAAAUAUUUUUUUCAACUCGUAUUACCAAAUAUGUGUUCCAUGAGAUAUUUAGUUUUGAAUAAAUGUCAGUGAAACUUUUCCUUCUAAAA
Molecule: long non-coding RNA, 3385 nt
Organism: Aethalodelphis obliquidens (Pacific white-sided dolphin)
Lineage: Eukaryota; Metazoa; Chordata; Mammalia; Artiodactyla; Delphinidae
Exons: 6
Source: RefSeq, a predicted model, not a curated record